RNAcentral lists this unclassified non-coding RNA (279 nucleotides) under plant metagenome. Its description in RNAcentral is "partial contains small subunit ribosomal RNA, internal transcribed spacer 1, and 5.8S ribosomal RNA". The record is from RNAcentral.
UUUCCGUAGGUGAACCUGCGGAAGGAUCAUUAUUGUAUAACCGAGCUUCGAGUUUUUUCGCUGACUUGACUGGUCUAGCACGCCCCAGUGCCCUCACACACAUCCAUCUCACUCCUAUGUGCACCACCGCGCUUGUCCCGCCUUGGCUUGUUCUGCAAGUGGUUUCCGUUUUCACCCAUUCUCUGCAUGCAGUGUAGCUUGUAUUUUUUUUUUUUGCGCACCCGCACUCAAUACAACUCUCAACAACUGAUCUCUCGCCCCUCGCAUCGGUGAAGAACC